RNAcentral lists this ribosomal RNA (465 nucleotides) under Vreelandella stevensii. RNAcentral describes it as "partial 16S ribosomal RNA". It matches the Rfam family "Bacterial small subunit ribosomal RNA", at positions 338 to 795 of the family's 1533-position model. The record is from RNAcentral. Lineage: Bacteria; Pseudomonadati; Pseudomonadota; Gammaproteobacteria; Oceanospirillales; Halomonadaceae.
CCUACGGGUGGCUGCAGUGGGGAAUAUUGGACAAUGGGGGCAACCCUGAUCCAGCCAUGCCGCGUGUGUGAAGAAGGCCCUCGGGUUGUAAAGCACUUUCAGUGAGGAAGAACGCCUGGUGGUUAAUACCCAUCAGGAAAGACAUCACUCACAGAAGAAGCACCGGCUAACUCCGUGCCAGCAGCCGCGGUAAUACGGAGGGUGCGAGCGUUAAUCGGAAUUACUGGGCGUAAAGCGCGCGUAGGUGGCUUGAUAAGCCGGUUGUGAAAGCCCCGGGCUCAACCUGGGAACGGCAUCCGGAACUGUCAAGCUAGAGUGCAGGAGAGGAAGGUAGAAUUCCCGGUGUAGCGGUGAAAUGCGUAGAGAUCGGGAGGAAUAACAGUGGCGAAGGCGGCCUUCUGGACUGACACUGACACUGAGGUGCGAAAGCGUGGGUAGCAAACAGGAUUAGAUACCCCAGUAGUC